RNAcentral lists this ribosomal RNA (372 nucleotides) under uncultured bacterium. RNAcentral describes it as "bacterial SSU rRNA". It matches the Rfam family "Archaeal small subunit ribosomal RNA", at positions 745 to 1115 of the family's 1478-position model. The record is from RNAcentral.
UCCUGGGCGUAAAUUAUGCGGACUAGGUGUGGGGAUAUCCACGAGAUAUCUCUGUGCCGAAGGGAAGCCAUUAAGUCCGCCGCCUGGGGAGUACGGCCGCAAGGCUGAAACUUAAAGGAAUUGGCGGGGAAGCACCACAAGGGGUGGAGGCUGCGGUUUAAUUGGAUUCAACGCCGGAAAACUCACCGGGAGCGACGGCAGUAUGACGGCCAAGCUGAUGACUUUGCUUGACGAGCCGAGAGGAGGUGCAUGGCCGCCGUCAGUUCGUACCGUGAGGUGUCCUCUUAAGUGAGGUAACGAACGAGACCCCCACUCUCAGUUACCAGCAAAUUCCUAUGGAAUGAUGGGGACUCUGAGGGGACCGCUACUGCU